Corticium candelabrum is the source of this 335-nucleotide long non-coding RNA. RefSeq lists it as uncharacterized. The record is from RefSeq and is a predicted model, not a curated record. The transcript has 3 exons. Lineage: Eukaryota; Metazoa; Porifera; Homoscleromorpha; Homosclerophorida; Plakinidae.
AUUGUGACUAAUAUUUAUUCAAAUUGCAUGAUGUGUUAAAUUUGUUGAACAAAUAACAAAGUUAGCCUUAACAAGAAUUGAAUAAUUUAUUUAUUAUAGGGUGAAGAAGGGCCUCCUGGAGGUGAUGGACGUCCUGGAGAUGAUGGUCGUAAAGGAGUCAACGGUGAUAAAGGAAAUACUGGGUCUUCGGGGGGCCCUGGCCCUAGGGGACGUCAGGGAGUUCCUGGGGAACCUGGCCAUACUGGAGAGCCUGGUCAAAUGGGGUUGCCAGGUGAUGAUGGAGUGCCAGGGUGUGAAGGAAGCAAAGGAGUGAAAGGAGAUGAAGUAAGGUUUAC